CGCUGGGGGCGGCCUCAUCGGGGCGGCUGCGCCAGUCUCUGCCCGUAAUUUCCGCUCGGCCGCCCCGGCCCGAUCGCUUUCGGCACCGUGCUCUGUGAAAGGACCCGUUGGCUUUUCUCCUGCUGUGUGAGGAGAGCACUCGUCCAGGUGUCCUGUUAGGAAGGAUUCUGAAGUCAAAAGCCUUUCAGACUCUUAGAUUUACUAUGGUGCUGGAUUCCAGACCCACACAGUUUUGAAGAAACAAGUUUACAGAGAAAUAGCAUCGAUUCAGAUGAAUUCACCUGAAAGAUAUCAAGACUUACAUUCUGGGUGAUUCUGCAAAAUAAGUUUCUGGGACUUCCCAAAGAGUGGUUCCCACGUGCCAAUCCCCCUUCCAUCCUGCACCACCACCCCAAUUCUGAGGUUAUCUCCCAUUGUGUUAUUAUAUCCCCUUUUUCCUUCUCCCUUUUUCUUUGGCUUGGCAGAGAGGUUUGCCCAUUUUCACUGCUCUUUGUCCCCACUUCUCUUGAAUGCUGUGGUGUUUGGUGUUUUGAUCUGCUUCCAGCAAGCUCUUGGAGAGGCCCAUUGCAACAUUUUCUCCCACGUGAGAUUUUUAGAUGAACAAAACAGUAGUGAUGUGUCAUCUGUGCAGCCACAGAAGGUUCUCUAAGAGUUCCUGUGCACUUAGGAUGAUUUACCUUGGGACUUUAUAAACCUAGAGAUAGGCGAAGGUCAAGAAUACUUCAGGAGAUUCAUUUGAGGUCUUCAGUAACCUCCGAAAACAGGAUGUUGGUCAGUAAAUAUAAAAAGUGGGAGUGGCAAAAAUUGUAGUCACCACCAAAUAUCCAUUCUCUCCUUCAUCCUCAGUUACUGAUGCCCAGUUUUAAUCAGAGUGACUACGUGCUUCAAGUUAUGGUAAAGGAGAGUAAUGUGUGGGCUUCUGGGAAGUUUUGCAAAGGAAGGAACCUGACUCAGCUGGAAGUGUAGGGCCCUUGUUCCUUUGCAGGCAGACAUUAUGGCUAGUGCUCUGCCAACCGUUUUCUCUAAUGAGGGGACCUUAAGAAUGGAAGCCACGUGCUAGCAGUGACACAAAGGAACCUGGUGUGCUCAAUUACACAAAUGGCCACAAAUUCUUCCCACCCCCACCCCCCAUGCAUGCUCCUCUGCAGUGCAACUUUGUAGCUUCUCCCAUAAAGAGAUGAAGUCACGAUCUCCACCCCUUGAAUCUGGUGUGGGGAGUCCCAGCCUGAGGGAGAUAAGAAGGCCAUCCUCUGGGAGGGUCGUCCUGACGUGGAGUGUCAGAGCCUGAGCAGGGAGAGGAGGGCUUACAUUGAGGGGAGAUGGUGGGGGCUGAGAUCGGAAAUUAGUUACAUAGGGAAGGAUUGAUCAAAUUUGUAACUACUAAAGAUCAGGUUUCCCACUGCUGGAGCAGGGAGUUACAAAUACAGAAAUGUAGAAAACUAGGAUCAACCCUGUGCUGUGGAUUGGGUUAGAUGUGCUGGUGUGAACUCAUGGUUUUCAAUAAAUAUAGAUGUAAAUGUGCAUGUCUGUACGUGUACAUGUGUGUAUGUAUAUAUGGAUAUACGUGUACAGUAUGUCCUCAGUUAACAUCAUUGGUAGUUUCUGCGACUUCAAGUGAAAUGACGUAUCAUGAAACCUGUUUUGUUUAAUUGAUAUAAACAAGAGUUAAGUUCUCAUAGCAUUUCCUCAACAUUAUAACAAAAUGAUAUUAUUCAAGGACCUGUUGUUUCUAUUCCUCUGAGGGAGCCUGUGGGCAGAUAACACCCAAGAGCAAUAAGCACACCUCACAGCAGACUGGCUUCUAAAUAACAUUUUCCACAAAAUGGAAACCAGGGUUUCUUGGAUAAAUGGCUGGUUCCAGGCCUGGGACAAGGGAAGCCCAAGAUGAGCCUGGAAUAUCUUGUGCUAGAAAGUAAAGAAGUGCCCAAAGAGUGAUGCGGACAGGUCAAGGGGACAGAGAAGCUCGCUGGAAUUAGUCUGUCUAUCCAAAUCGAAGACAAUUUGAACAUCAAAAUAAAUGAUCACAUUGGAUGAUAGCUCACUGAAUAAAAUAGAAACCAUAAGUCUGCACAGACACAAAUAGAUAAAUGAACAAGUGGCAAGUUUGGUGGUGACUGAGAUAUUUACAUAGCUUCCAAGUACCUUCUUAGGAAAUACCAACUAUAAAGGGGGAAAGAAUAACUUCACUGUGGAGAAGCCUGGCUGGUCACGACCUUUAUCAAGUGAUCAGGGUGAAACGGGGGACAGAUUGAGAUCCUGUGCUAUUUGAUAGGAGGCAAUGAGAAGAACAGAACAUUUCCAAGAGUCCUGCUACAGAUGCAUGACCUGAAUCUAAUCACAAGGCAACAUCAGAAAAAAAACAAACUGAGGGACAUUCAGCAAAAUAAACGGCCUGAAAUCUUUAAAAGAUCAUGAAAGUCAAAGAAAGACUGAGGAAUUGUUCCAGAUUGAAGAAACUAAAGGACAUAACAACCAAGUGCAAUGGGUCCUUUUGCUAUAAAGAACAUUGUAAGGAGCAGUGAAAAACCUUGAAAGAGGUUUGAGAGAAAAUAGUAAAAAGAAACCUAUGUUAAUGGUAAGC
This is an RNA transcript of Rhinolophus ferrumequinum (greater horseshoe bat), 2581 nucleotides long. It is a transcript of the gene named gamma-glutamylamine cyclotransferase, with no coding region annotated. The transcript has 3 exons. NCBI's taxonomy places the organism in Eukaryota, Metazoa, Chordata, Mammalia, Chiroptera, Rhinolophidae. The record is from RefSeq and is a predicted model, not a curated record.